RNAcentral lists this long non-coding RNA (1488 nucleotides) under Canis lupus familiaris (dog). RNAcentral's name for it is "lncRNA (ENSCAFG00030000182.1)". Lineage: Eukaryota; Metazoa; Chordata; Mammalia; Carnivora; Canidae. The record is from RNAcentral.
AGCCUAAGGCAUGAACGGCGCCCCCGGGCAGGUGACUCACUCGAGCCCGGCGAAGGCGGAUUUCCAAACGGGCAUCUCGGAGCGGGUCCGGGGGGCGGAAGGGUUCAAGGAAGGUCCCGGCGAGGAUCAAAGUUGCGGCGGGGGAGGGGCGGGUGCGCACGAGGGUCACGGAGGCGCAAACAACAGCGACCCGGGCCGCGUGCCCGCAGGAUCCCCCAAAUCGGCACGCGUGGAGUGCAAGGCUGUGUCUGGAUACUGAAGGAAGGAGUAAAUACACGGCUUCGCUACGACGACGUGCCCGGGAGGGUGGCCCGAAGUUCCCAGAAGGCGCCUCCUGGGAAACGCCGAGGGCGCUCGCGGGGGCACGAGGUCGCGCGCCGGCGGGAACCGGCCGAGGAGAAGCCCCCGGCGCCGAGAGGGGUGUGUCUGGGGCCUGGAGGCCCGCCCGGGACGCGGGACGCCGGGACGCGGGACCCGGGACCCGGGGAAGCGGCCGCCGCCCCCGCCUCCGCCCCCGCCCCCGCCGGCCUCGGGCUGCGCGCCAGGGCCCGCCUCUCGCCGACGCCUCACUUCCCUCCCGUCCGCGCGGCCGCGGCCCCCACGUUGGGGCGCUGGGGCUGGAGGCGCAGCGCCGCCCGCCGCUGCCUCGGGCCCUCCGCUGCGGCCCGCGGCCCCGGGGUCCCUUCCGUCCUGGCCCCGCCGCCCCGCCUACCACCCGCCGCCUUUACCUGCUCCGGGAGCGGGGGGAGGCCGUCGAGGCCGGGGCCGCGUCGUCGAGCGCGCGACGCGGCGCUGCGGAUCCGCAGCCCUUUCCCGCCGCCGCCACUGCGCUCUCCGGCGCGGCGCUGGGCGGGCGGCGGCGGCGGCGGCGGCGGCGGCCGCGCGGGGGGGGGGGGGGGGGGGGGGGGCGGGGGGCGGGGGAGGGAGACGCGCGGCGACGGCCGGGCGGGGACACACUGCCGCUCUCCGUCCGGCCCGGGAAGAGCAGCCUGGCAGCAGCCAGCCGCGGGGGGGCGGGGGGGGCGGGGGGCGGCCGAAUGGGGAGGGGUCUCGGGGAGUAGGAAAUGGCUGCCACGUCGCGCGGCUGGCUCGCCGCCCUCCGCCGCGACCUCCGGUUCAUCCCCGAGCUCCGCCAUGGCGCGUGGCCCGCCCCGCGGGGUGUCUCCGGGACCCGACCGGGCCCGCGGGCGCUCCCGGUGCUCCCUCCGCCCCCCGGCGCCCCCCGUAACCCUGAAGAGCUCGCCCGAACUCCCGCGCUUCCCCUUCCGUGGCGGGGCGGCCCCUGGGAGGAGCAAGCCCGUUUCGACGUGUCCGGCUGGGGGGGCGGGGGGCAGCUGCUCUGAGCCCGUGGACGUGAUCCGGGAGGGGCCCCAAGUAUUUGCCGAAGUAAAGGGCGCGGGAAAGCGCAGCUGCUUCCGGCCCUCUACACGCUCGCGAACCAGAAAACCAAAAACAGAAACACAAGGUCGUACUCGAGAAGCAAAAUAG